AGAGUUUGAUCCUGGCUCAGGACGAACGCUGGCGGCGUGCUUAACACAUGCAAGUCGAACGAAGCUUGAUUACGGAUUCUUCGGAUGAAGUAUGAUAUGACUGAGUGGCGGACGGGUGAGUAACGCGUGAGUAACCUGCCCUUCAGAGGGGGAUAGCGUUUGGAAACGAACGGUAAUACCGCAUAAUGUAUUUUGACCGCAUGAUCGAAAUACCAAAGAUUUAUCGCUGAAGGAUGGACUCGCGUCUGAUUAGGUAGUUGGUGGGGUAACGGCCUACCAAGCCGACGAUCAGUAGCCGGACUGAGAGGUUGAUCGGCCACAUUGGGACUGAGACACGGCCCAGACUCCUACGGGAGGCAGCAGUGGGGAAUAUUGCACAAUGGGCGCAAGCCUGAUGCAGCAACGCCGCGUGAAGGAAGACGGUUUUCGGAUUGUAAACUUCUGUUCUUAGUGAAGAAUAAUGACGGUAGCUAAGGAGCAAGCCACGGCUAACUACGUGCCAGCAGCCGCGGUAAUACGUAGGUGGCAAGCGUUGUCCGGAAUUACUGGGUGUAAAGGGAGCGCAGGCGGUGAUCAAGUCAGCCGUGAAAACUACGGGCUUAACCCGUAGACUGCAGUUGAAACUGUUCAUCUUGAGUGAAGUAGAGGUUGGCGGAAUUCCGAGUGUAGCGGUGAAAUGCGUAGAUAUUCGGAGGAACACCGGUGGCGAAGGCGGCCAACUGGGCUUUAACUGACGCUGAGGCUCGAAAGUGUGGGGAGCAAACAGGAUUAGAUACCCUGGUAGUCCACACUGUAAACGAUGAUUGCUAGGUGUGGGGGGUCUGACCCCUUCCGUGCCGGAGCUAACGCAAUAAGCAAUCCACCUGGGGAGUACGACCGCAAGGUUGAAACUCAAAGGAAUUGACGGGGACCCGCACAAGCAGUGGAUUAUGUGGUUUAAUUCGAAGCAACGCGAAGAACCUUACCAGCACUUGACAUCCAACUAACGAAAUAGAGAUAUAUUAGGUGCCCUUCGGGGAAAGUUGAGACAGGUGGUGCAUGGUUGUCGUCAGCUCGUGUCGUGAGAUGUUGGGUUAAGUCCCGCAACGAGCGCAACCCUCGCCAUUAGUUGCUACGCAAGAGCACUCUAAUGGGACCGCUACCGACAAGGUGGAGGAAGGUGGGGACGACGUCAAAUCAUCAUGCCCCUUAUGUGCUGGGCUACACACGUAAUACAAUGGCCAUCAACAGAGAGAAGCAAUACCGCGAGGUGGAGCAAAACUUCAAAAAUGGUCUCAGUUCGGACUGCAGGCUGCAACCCGCCUGCACGAAGUUGGAAUUGCUAGUAAUCGUGGAUCAGCAUGCCACGGUGAAUACGUUCCCGGGUCUUGUACACACCGCCCGUCACACCAUGGGAGCCGGUAACACCCGAAGUCAGUAGUCUAACCGCAAGGAGGACGCUGCCGAAGGUGGGAUUGGCGACUGGGGUGAAGUCGUAACAAGGUA
RNAcentral lists this ribosomal RNA (1485 nucleotides) under metagenome. Its description in RNAcentral is "bacterial SSU rRNA". It matches the Rfam family "Bacterial small subunit ribosomal RNA". The record is from RNAcentral.